GUAGGGAAUAUUGCGCAAUGGACGAAAGUCUGACGCAGCGACGCCGCGUGAGUGAUGAAGGCCUUAGGGUCGUAAAGCUCUGUUGAAUGGGAAGAAAAAAAUGACGGUACCAUUCGAGGAAGGACCGGCUAACUUCGUGCCAGCAGCCGCGGUAAUACGAGGGGUCCUAGCGUUGUUCGGAAUCAUUGGGCGUAAAGGGUGUGUAGGUGGCCAUGUAAGUCAGGUGUGAAAGCCCCGGGCUCAACCCGGGAGGUGCACUUGAUACUGCGUGGCUUGAGUACCGAAGAGGGUAGUGGAAUUCCAGGUGUAGUGGUGAAAUACGUAGAUAUCUGGAGGAACACCGGUGGCGAAGGCGGCUACCUGGUCGAGUACUGACACUGAGACACGAAAGCAUGGGGAUCAAACAGGAUUAGAAACCCCUGUAGUCC
This 428-nucleotide ribosomal RNA is filed under the name uncultured bacterium. RNAcentral describes it as "partial 16S ribosomal RNA". It matches the Rfam family "Bacterial small subunit ribosomal RNA", at positions 354 to 796 of the family's 1533-position model. The record is from RNAcentral.